Molecule: ribosomal RNA, 484 nt
Filed under: uncultured bacterium
Lineage: Bacteria
Description: partial 16S ribosomal RNA
Rfam family: Bacterial small subunit ribosomal RNA
Source: RNAcentral
AUUGAACGCUGGCGGCAGGCCUAACACAUGCAAGUCGAGCGGAUGAAGGGAGCUUGCUCCUGGAUUCAGCGGCGGACGGGUGAGUAAUGCCUAGGAAUCUGCCUGGUAGUGGGGGAUAACGUCCGGAAACGGGCGCUAAUACCGCAUACGUCCUGAGGGAGAAAGUGAGGGAUCUUCGGACCUCACGCUAUCAGAUGAGCCUAGGUCGGAUUAGCUAGUUGGUGGGGUAAAGGCCUACCAAGGCGACGAUCCGUAACUGGUCUGAGAGGAUGAUCAGUCACACUGGAGCUGAGACACGGUCCAGACUCCUACGGGAGGCAGCAGUGGGGAAUAUUGGACGAUGGGCGAAAGCCUGAUCCAGCCAUGCCGCGUGUGUGAAGAAGGUCUUCGGAUUGUAAAGCACUUUAAGUUGGGAGGAAGGGCAGUAAGUUAAUACCUUGCUGUUUUGACGUUACCAACAGAAUAAGCACCGGCUAACUUCGUG